This 465-nucleotide ribosomal RNA is filed under the name uncultured bacterium. RNAcentral's name for it is "partial 16S ribosomal RNA". It matches the Rfam family "Bacterial small subunit ribosomal RNA", at positions 28 to 507 of the family's 1533-position model. The record is from RNAcentral.
GACGAACGCUGGCGGCGUGCUUAACACAUGCAAGUCGUACGGUAAGGCCCUUUCGGGGGUACACGAGUGGCGAACGGGUGCGUAACACGUGAGUAACCUGCCCACAACUUUGGGAUAACGCUAGGAAACUGGUGCUAAUACUGGAUAUGUGCUCCUGCUGCAUGGUGGGGGUUGGAAAGCUCCGGCGGUUGUGGAUGGACUCGCGGCCUAUCAGCUUGUUGGUGGGGUAGUGGCCUACCAAGGCGGCGACGGGUAGCCGGCCUGAGAGGGUGACCGGCCACAUUGGGACUGAGAUACGGCCCAGACUCCUACGGGAGGCAGCAGGGGGGAAUAUUGCACAAUGGGCGCAAGCCUGAUGCAGCAACGCCGCGUGCGGGAUGACGGCCUUCGGGUUGGAAACCGCUUUCAGCAGGGACGAAGCUUUUUGUGACGGUACCUGCAGAAGAAGCACCGGCUAACUACGUG